CCUCUGGACAUGUCACUUGAAGAAGGUGAUGGGCAUCUCAUUUGGAAAUAUAGGGAACUGCGUCUGGAUGACUGCCGCUUCCAGCGCUUCUUCAGGCUAACCAGGAGCCAGUUUGAUGACCUGUUGGCUCGGAUCGGUGCUUGGAUCUCUCGGUUGGACACCAAUUACAGGCGUUCAAUCUCAGCUGCGGAGCGCUUGUCCAUCUGUCUCCGCGUACCACGUGUCAGGAAAUAAACAAGAAGACAAAUCUGCGAGCACAAGUUUAAAGUAAAUAUCACAAACGAAACCACUCCAGUGGUACAUUCUUACUAUUGUACAUUGUUCCUGUUUAUAAUGGUGCUAAACAAAAAGGAGUUAAUUUCCCGACCCAUCAGUGAGAUUGACUGUGUGUAGCAUUGGGUCCUCCUCUGCUGCUGUGUCAUGUUAUCGCUUCUCGGCCUUUUGGCUAAGAUCAAGUGGUGGAAGCAGAGAACUACUAUAUAGUGAGUUCCAACGGUGACAGGGCAAUGGCCGCGUACGAGCAGCAGAUUCCAAAGUUUGGGCUGAGGUACACGCUACGGUUCCGGGCAAAGACAGGAGAGGAGAAAGUUCUGUCAAGAGUGUUCUUUGGGAAAGAAGUCAUCAUCGGACAACUGCGCUUGAAGAUCGAGGAGGUUUGCUGCAUCCAGUGGAACCAGCAGGAGAAAAGUUUCGAUGUAACCCUGUUUGACGAUUGCA
This is a long non-coding RNA of Pseudoliparis swirei, 717 nucleotides long. RefSeq lists it as uncharacterized. NCBI's taxonomy places the organism in Eukaryota, Metazoa, Chordata, Actinopteri, Perciformes, Liparidae. The record is from RefSeq and is a predicted model, not a curated record. The transcript is spliced from 3 exons.